This 232-nucleotide ribosomal RNA is filed under the name uncultured bacterium. Its description in RNAcentral is "partial 16S ribosomal RNA". It matches the Rfam family "Bacterial small subunit ribosomal RNA", at positions 109 to 334 of the family's 1533-position model. The record is from RNAcentral.
AGUAAUACAUAAGUAACCUGCCCUAGACAGGGGAAUAACUAUUGGAAACGAUAGCUAAGACCGCAUAGGUACGGACACUGCAUGGUGACCGUAUUAAAAGUGCCUCAAAGCACUGGUAGAGGAUGGACUUAUGGCGCAUUAGCUGGUUGGCGGGGUAACGGCCCACCAAGGCGACGAUGCGUAGCCGACCUGAGAGGGUGACCGGCCACACUGGGACUGAGACACGGCCCAG